RNAcentral lists this ribosomal RNA (497 nucleotides) under uncultured bacterium. RNAcentral describes it as "partial 16S ribosomal RNA". It matches the Rfam family "Bacterial small subunit ribosomal RNA", at positions 28 to 507 of the family's 1533-position model. The record is from RNAcentral.
GAUGAACGCUGGCGGCGUGCCUAAUACAUGCAAGUCGAGCGAACAGACGAGGAGCUUGCUCCUCUGACGUUAGCGGCGGACGGGUGAGUAACACGUGGAUAACCUACCUAUAAGACUGGGAUAACUUCGGGAAACCGGAGCUAAUACCGGAUAAUAUAUUGAACCGCAUGGUUCAAUAGUGAAAGACGGUUUUGCUGUCACUUAUAGAUGGAUCCGCGCCGCAUUAGCUAGUUGGUAAGGUAACGGCUUACCAAGGCAACGAUGCGUAGCCGACCUGAGAGGGUGAUCGGCCACACUGGAACUGAGACACGGUCCGGACUCCUACGGGAGGCAGCAGUAGGGAAUCUUCCGCAAUGGGCGAAAGCUUGACGGAGCAACGCCGCGUGAGUGAUGAAGGUCUUCGGAUCGUAAAACUCUGUUAUUAGGGAAGAACAAAUGUGUAAGUAACUAUACACGUCUUGACGGUACCUAAUCAGAAAGCCACGGCUAACUACGUG